This 301-nucleotide ribosomal RNA is filed under the name uncultured bacterium. RNAcentral describes it as "partial 16S ribosomal RNA". It matches the Rfam family "Bacterial small subunit ribosomal RNA", at positions 509 to 807 of the family's 1533-position model. The record is from RNAcentral.
CAGCCGCCGCGGUAAUACGAAGGGUGCAAGCGUUAAUCGGAAUUACUGGGCGUAAAGCGCGCGCAGGCGGUUUGUUAAGUCAGAUGUGAAAUCCCCGAGCUUAACUUGGGAACUGCAUUUGAAACUGGCAAGCUAGAGUCUUGUAGAGGGGGGUAGAAUUCCAGGUGUAGCGGUGAAAUGCGUAGAGACCUGGAGGAAUACCGGUGGCGAAGGCGGCCCCCUGGACAAAGACUGACGCUCAGGUGCGAAAGCGUGGGGAGCAAACAGGAUUAGAGACCCGGGUAGUCCCUGUCUCUUAUAC